CUUGUGGAGGCGGGGGGGAUGGAGAUUAUGGACAUGUGUGCAAAUGUUUAGCUCAGUCCUCAGUUCAUGAGUCCGAAUGUGUGUGUAUGCGUGUAGCCCAUCUUCUUCCGUCUCAGACCUCCGGUGUCUCAGUUCGUGAGGGUGGGAGUGCGAUAACACAGCAAGGUUGCUAUGGAGACGUCCUCGGUUGGCCCGGUCCAAAAGUCAACAGGUGUCCUUGGGAAAGUGUGUGUGUGUGUGUGUGUGUGUGUGUGUGUGUGUGUGUGUGUGUGUGUGUGUGUGUGUGUCGGGGGGGGGGGGGGGGGGGGGGGUCUGCGACUCAGAUCAACAGCCACACCAAGCAAACUGUUCAUCUUACGAUUGAGUUCGUCAUACCGAGCAUCGGCAGCCGUGAUCCGAUUGUUUGCAUAGACCAGCAGAGUUUGGAUGUCGUUUCUGUCUGUGGUCUUCCUGAUUUUCCAGAAGCUCAGGCCAGUGAACAAGCCAAUUAUCAGCAGGCCUGUCAUCAUAAAUCCGAAUAUAUAAACAUCUUCCACAUCCUCCACGGAUAGGGGUGCCAGGCACAUGAUCCCCUUCCACUUCCCCCAGGCGUCGAUCACGUAACCAGAGGCGAAACUCCCAUCCGGGCAGGUCCAGUGCCAAGCGAUCGCUCCAAGUCAGAAAGACGAGACGAAGACAAAGUGCAGCAAGCAGAAGACAUGAGGGAGUGGGGAGAACAGAGAUAGAAACGGAGCGAGGGAAAAUGCGACUGCCUCCUACGAGAGCUGAGAGCAUAUACAGAGGACAGAACAAUGUCAACAACAGAAAACCAACAUUAAACAACACAAAACCAACACAAGGACACACAAAUAUGUGUGUAUCUAAUAAUUAUUUUAUUAUAUUUAAUUGUUAUUGUCUAAUAAUUAUUAUUUUAUUAUAUUUAUUUAUUGUUGUUGUCUAGUAAUUGUUAUUUUAUUGUAUUUAAUUAUUAUUGUUGUCUAAUAAUUAUUCUUUUAUUAUAUUUAAUUAUUAUUAUUGUCUAAUAAUUAUUAUUUUUAUUAUAUUUAAUUAUUAUUGUUGUCUAAUUAUUAUUAUUUUAUUAU
Amphiprion ocellaris (clown anemonefish) is the source of this 1082-nucleotide long non-coding RNA. The record is from Ensembl. Lineage: Eukaryota; Metazoa; Chordata; Actinopteri; Pomacentridae.